UGUGGCCUCUCCCGGAGCACAGGCUCCGGACGCGCAGGCUCAGAGGCCAUGGCUCACGGGCCCAGCCACUCCGCGGUAUGUGGGAUCUUCCCGGACCGGGGCACGAACCCGCGUCCCCUGCAUCGGCAGGCGGACUCUCAACCACUGCGCCACCAGGGAAGCCCUUUUUUUUUUUAAAUAUAUAUAUAUUCUGAAUAUUUGUUAGGUGACUAAAUGAAUGAUUAUAUUUAGUCCUACACAAAACUGUAAGGUAGCAAUUCCCAUCCCAGUUUUACAAGUUAGGAAACUGAUGCUCACAGAGUUUAAGUAACUUGCUAUGCCCACGAAUGAGUGGCAGACUCAGAAUUCAAAAUCAGGUCUGCCCAGCCCAAAUGCCAGACUCUUGGCCACUGUGCUAAACUAAGACAAGGCAUGUGCCCCACACGGUACCCAGCCCAUAGCAGAAUGGUACCCAGCCCACAGUAGAAUGUAAACCCCCUUCUUCUCGCUCUUCUGUACCUCACUCUUUGAUCAUUGCUGCCGCCAGCACAGAGACUUGUGGCCGAUAAAUUUAAAGCCCUGGAAACUGCUUCCUCCUGCCUUCCUAGCACACUGAGGUCUGUUCCAGUAGGAAGGCAGGGCCAAUGGAGUGGCAUUAAUUGCUGGUGACUAGUGUGCACAUCCGAGCGAGGAAGUGGCACCUUCCAUCAGCGCUUGUCUCUUCACAUCAUCCUGGGAGUAAUCUGACCCAACACACCAUCACCAUUUGACAGGAAUGUCACUGCCUGGAGACCCAAAAAUACUAAACAGGAAAGCUCCUGCAGAGUGACAGCCGGAACAUCCGUGUCUGACAGUGGCGAGUGCUUGCUCACCCCAUCUCUCAGCCCGAAGUGCCCCUCAUCUGUGUCUGGGUCUGUCGAAAGUAUAGGUGGAGGAACGCGUGCCCUCCUGGGUUCGCAUCCUGCUGGAGCUCUUCUAUGGCUGGAUACUUACGCCAGCUCUUUGCCCUCUGCUUCCUCCUCUGGCACCUACCUUUUCAUCCUUUUCCCAAAGGUCCUCUGAGUUCUUGGAGUUUUGCAGCUGUUCUUUUAUUCGCUUUUAUUCUCUCUUCCACUCCCAGAAUUCACCUGCAUAUAGGACAUACCCUUUGUCACUAAAUUUAUCUUUUUUUCCGAAACAAGAUGAAAAUAGAAAGAAUACGUGUAUGCAUAAUGUGGAUUUCACUGGAGACUUUGGAACAACAGGCAGCUGUCAAGAGCCAUCAACUCAAAAUCUCAUAGUGGAGUUUGUCCUAAUACCAACAGGGGCCUCUUCUUGCCCCAUACUGCCCCCUCACACUGCUUAACCUACCACUGCCUUGCAAAAUUCUCUCACCCUUCUUUCUUUGCCCUGCAACUCCUCCUUCCAAAAAGAACCCUGGACCUCUGAAUUCUUCAUUUAUGACUCAGAACACAGCAGGUUUCCCUACCUCAAGAUAAUCAGAAACAAAGGGCCUUAGAAGAUAGUUGAGGUUAAACUAAAAAGUAAAAGGAAGAAACAGAAUCCUGUUGUAUUAUUGUUAAUAUCAAUGACUGUGUCGUCCUUGGAGAUCACCGCUCUACCUCUUUGCACCCACAGCAGGUUGCCUGGGCUUUCAGGCGGUCCUCCCUGACCCCCGCUCUGUACUGCUAUGUGUUGAAUUAGUGCUUAUGGCACUGCCCCCUCCAGUGGACCACUGACAUCGCCCCUGGUGGUCUCUAACCUAACUUAUUCCCCCUUCCAGGCUUAGCACAGAGCAGGUGUGCUGGAAGCCGUGUCCAUUUAGGCUAAUUAGGACAGAUGUAAGACCCCAAGUUUUCCAAAGGGACAAUGCCAUAGCGGGAUGAACUGAUCACUUUACCCAAAGCACACGCAGCCCCAGAAUCAGCUCUCACUGACCUUGGUGCUUCCUUUGGAAGAAGCCUUUGGAUUCAGGUCCCAUCUUUACUUCCAGUGAAAAGUGGCUGCUCACCUGCUGAUGGCCCAGUGUCAGCUUUCCCCGCCCCGCUUACCCUUCUCUUCCCCACUGGGAUUUUUGAAACCACCUCCUCCAGCGUGCACAUAAAAGGCGAGUAUGUGGCAAAGUUGAAUCACCUGACGCUGUACAGUGUGUUGUCAUUAUUGUCACCGCAGUGUAAUAAGACAUGGUUUAUUCAUUUCUGAGAACUCCCAGCAUUUCGUGCAUCCUUCCCACCCCUGCCCGUCACUUAGGAGAAUCUAUCUUUUCUCACUCAACUUUUUCUUCCUUCCCCACCCUUUAGGAGAACUCUGUGUUUGCUUGGAGGUACCCAGACAUACUGGGCAGAAUCAGGAAUCUGAGUAAAGAGCAAGAGAAGACUGGAGGGACUGGAGGGAAAGAAGAUGCUUGCUGUCGAGUUCAGCUAAGCCCCCUGAGAGCUGGUUUUAAAGAAGAAGGAAGAAGGAAAGAAAAGCUCAGCACUGAGUUACCAUUUGCUGAGGAUUUACCAUGGGCCAGACACUGCUCUGGAUGACAAGCGUGAAAGAUCCCAUCUAAUCCUCACAAAAACCCCAUGAGGAACUCAUCAUCCCAGUCAAAACAUGAGAAAAACAUCAGAAAAUCAAUUGAGAGGCAGUCUACAAAAUACUGCCAAGGUCAUCAAAAACAAGGAAAUUCGGAGAAACUUCAUAGCCAAGAGGAGCCUAGGAAGACAUUAUAUAAAUAUUAUGUAAAUAUAAAUAUAAUGUGAUGUCCUGGAUGUAUCCUGGACCAGAAGAGGCAUAUUAGGUAAAAACUAAGGAAAUCUCAGUGAAGUAAUGACUUUAGUUAAUGAUAAUGGAUCAAUAUUUGUUCAUGAAUUGUGAUAAAUAUACCUUA
Molecule: long non-coding RNA, 2833 nt
Organism: Globicephala melas (long-finned pilot whale)
Lineage: Eukaryota; Metazoa; Chordata; Mammalia; Artiodactyla; Delphinidae
Source: RefSeq, a predicted model, not a curated record